Molecule: ribosomal RNA, 468 nt
Filed under: uncultured bacterium
Lineage: Bacteria
Description: partial 16S ribosomal RNA
Rfam family: Bacterial small subunit ribosomal RNA
Source: RNAcentral
GACGAACGCUGGCGGCGGGCUUAACACAUGCAAGUCGAACGGAAGCGCCCUGCUUUUGUGGGGUGCUCGAGUGCCGAACGGGUGAGUAACACGAGAAUAACCUGCCCUUGACUUUGGGGUAACAUCAGGAAACUGGGGCUACUACCGUAUAGGAGCUCCUGCUGCGGGGAGGGGGUGGGAAAGUUGGGGCGGUUGUGGAUGGACUAGCGGCUGAUCAGCUUGUUGGUUGGGUAGUGGUUUACCAAGGCUUUGACCGGUAGCCGGCCUGGGUGGGUGACCGGCGACAUUGGGACUGAGAUAGGGCGCAGAGUCCUACGGGGGGCAGCGGGGGGGAGUAUUGCACAAUGGGCGGAAGUCUGAUGCAGAAGCGCCGCGUGCGGGAUGACGGCCUUCGGGUUGUAAACCGCUUUCGCCUGUGACGAAGCGUGAGUGACGGUAAUGGGUAAAGAAGCACCGGCUAACUACGUG